Plectropomus leopardus (leopard coralgrouper) is the source of this 279-nucleotide long non-coding RNA. RefSeq lists it as uncharacterized. The record is from RefSeq and is a predicted model, not a curated record. Lineage: Eukaryota; Metazoa; Chordata; Actinopteri; Perciformes; Serranidae.
UCCUUUUCUCAGUGGACUGCUCGCUGUGAAAGCGGAGGGAGUAGUUGGUCCUCCUCAGCUUUAUUCCAAAAGACAGCCCAACCGGAAAAGUUUUGUGCGGAUCUGUGAUAACUUUUCAUCACCAAGGGGUUGAGAAUAGACACACCAACUCUGAAGUUGAUCGGAUGAAUGCUGUAGGACAAGAUGGCAAAAAAGAUUUACCUUUGGCUCUGUGUGUGCUGGCUCGGCUUCUACCUGAGCCAAAACCUUCAGAGGACUCCGGGGAACCUCCUCCUCAUC